Molecule: unclassified non-coding RNA, 462 nt
Filed under: Athalia rosae (coleseed sawfly)
Lineage: Eukaryota; Metazoa; Arthropoda; Insecta; Hymenoptera; Athaliidae
Description: misc RNA ENSAEAG00005002818.1
Source: RNAcentral
AAUAGUUGAUCGAUAUCUACGAGUUACCGUCAAGGUACUUCAACUUUGAACUCACGCAAGCUCGAGGAAUAUUCCUCCAUUUCCGUCGGGAACACAAAGGUCUCUCGUUGAGGUUCUUCCCGAUUUGGAGCCGAUGGUGUGGAAAAAGUUUCGCCGAAACCCAGCGCAGACGUUGGUCCAGUAUGUUGGGGUACUUGGAUCGGAUGGAGAGUUUAAAACUUUUACGGGUGUAUCGAUAUAUCGAUCGGUUAUUCCGUGACAGGGAAAGCUUUCGGAAAAAUGAAAUUCCGGCACCAUAUGAUAAUCAAAUGCGCCCUUCUGAUAUGUCAAUCAGAAUAUAUAUCCAAACCUUGAGUUUGUAGUCGAUGUCUAUGAGCCUACAGUAUUGCAAGCCCGACGGUGGAAGUGAGGGUAAUUUCAGGUUGAUUAGAACCAGAUCUUGACCCUCGACAACGUUCACUU